RNAcentral lists this ribosomal RNA (253 nucleotides) under uncultured bacterium. RNAcentral describes it as "partial 16S ribosomal RNA". It matches the Rfam family "Bacterial small subunit ribosomal RNA", at positions 524 to 776 of the family's 1533-position model. The record is from RNAcentral.
UACAGAGACCUCAAGCAUUAUCCGGAUUUAUUGGGCGUAAAGAGCGUGUAGGCGGCCAGACAGGUCCGUUGUGAAAACUAGAGGCUUAACCUCUAGACGUCGAUGGAAACCGUCUGGCUAGAGUCCGGAAGAGGAGAAUGGAAUUCCUGGUGUAGCGGUGAAAUGCGCAGAUAUCAGGAAGAACACCCGUGGCUAAGGCGGUUCUCUAGUACGGUACUGACGCUGAGACGCGAAAGCGUGGGGAGCGAACAGG